AUGAGACUCCUCUCACUGUUCUGAUUUUGUAAUAAUCAGGACAGGCUAAACAUUCGCUAUGUUAAGACCACGCAUGUGUCUCCAGACCUAGUUCUUUCCCUAGGUCUAGUUUUAUAAAUGCUGGUGAUAAAC
Molecule: small nucleolar RNA, 132 nt
Filed under: Prolemur simus (greater bamboo lemur)
Lineage: Eukaryota; Metazoa; Chordata; Mammalia; Primates; Lemuridae
Description: Small nucleolar RNA SNORA72 (ENSPSMG00000000208.1)
Rfam family: Small nucleolar RNA SNORA72
About the family: U72 is a member of the H/ACA class of snoRNAs. The snoRNA gene is located in intron 4 of the ribosomal L30 protein gene in human, mouse and chicken.
Source: Rfam by way of RNAcentral